GUUACUUAGGGAUAAUGGAGGCAAAUUCAUUGCAAUUAUUUCAUAUCUUCAACAACAUGGUAUAUCCCACUUUACCACUACACCACAUACUCCGGAACAAAAUGGGAUUGCCAAACGACUGUCACACCCUGACUUUUGCGGAAGCGUGAUUAUUGGUGUGACUUCUUAAUACCAUUGCACAUGAUCAUAACAACACUAUAUGAUAAAACCAGUAGAUGUACAUCCAUUAAUUUAAGUUUUACAACAAAAUUGUCUGAAAUGACGAGACCGAUUUCAAGUUACAAACCAUAACAUGUUUUAAGGAGUUCAAAAAGACUCAACAAAAGAUUUUAAAACAACCCCGAGUUUAGGACC
RNAcentral lists this long non-coding RNA (354 nucleotides) under Helianthus annuus (common sunflower). Its description in RNAcentral is "sRNA HanXRQr2_Chr12g0542131". Lineage: Eukaryota; Viridiplantae; Streptophyta; Magnoliopsida; Asterales; Asteraceae. The record is from RNAcentral.